GACAGAUAAGUCAGACACAAACAGGACCUUUCUAGGUCCUAAGAGGCCCUGGCAGCUCCCCAACAUCCCCCUGCCCUCACCCCAACAUUUCAUAUGCCUUUGCUGAGCCCUGGCCCCACUGCAGGUGCCGGCACAGGACCUGCUGGUUGCGGUGCCCCUUUCUACACAGCCUUGGGGACACAGGCAGCCCCACAUGGCCACGGAAAUGGCUGGCAGACCAGCAACCUGAUGGACAGCCCAACAAAAUGCCACCAGAUGACCAGAAGUGCUGGAGCUCAGCCCUCCAAAAUGCUGCCCAUGCUCCUUCAGAAAGCUAAGUCAGCCCCAUACCGUAGCCUGCCCUACUUUUACACAGCCAUGGAAGGUCCCCAAGAUUCCCAUUCUCCUACCCAAGUGUUUUGGGCUUGUUUGCUCAGCCCUGGCCCCACUGCAGGUGCUGACAUUGCACCUAUGGAUUGGAGAGGCCAUGUCAACCAGGGAUGCUGACAAGCUCCCCCAUACAGCUAUAAAUAAGGCGGGCAGACCAGCUAACUGGUGAGCAGGGCCAUGCCUGGGAGGGCAUCGCAGCGAAGCGGGGCAGGCGGCUGCUCCUUUCUUCCUUCCCAUCUGCCUUGCAGAUGGACGUCUGGACAAAGAUGGAACCAGAGAAGGACACGCGCCUGUCCUCAGCUCUCUAACUGCUCUCAGUGCUGUACAUGACAGAUAAGUCAGACACAAACAGGACCUUUCUAGGUCCUAAGAGGCCCUGGCUGCCCCCCAAGUUCCACCUGCCCUCACCACCAACAUUUUAGACUCCUUUGUUCAGCCCUGGCUCCACUGCAGGUGCCGGCACGGGACCUGCUGAUUGCCAUGCCCCUUUCCACUCACAGGCACGGAAAUGGCUGGCAGACCAGCAACCUGGUGAGCAGGGGCCAUGCAGGGGAGGGCAGCACAGGGAAGCAGGGCAGGCGGCUGCUCCUUUCUUCCUUCCCACCUGCCUUGCAGAUGGACAGCCCAACAUAAUGCCACCAGAUGACCAGAAGUCCCAGAGGUCAGCCCUCCAAAAUGCUGCCCAUGCUCCUUCAGAAAGCUAAGUCAGCCCCAUACCAUAGCCUCCCUUGAUCCUACACAACAGUGGAAGCUCCCCACAUUCCCCCUGUUCUUACCCCAAACCUUUCACUUUGCUCUGCUGAGUCUGGCCCCACUGCAGGUGCUGGCACCUCACCUCCUGACUGCAGUGGCCGUGUCAACGUGGCAUAGCUGACACAAUGACCCCAAAUGGCCAAGGAAACCAUUGUCAGACCAGCUACCUGGUGAGCAGGGCCAUGCCUGGGAGGGCAACACAGGGAAGCAGGGCAGGCGGCUGCUCCUUUCUUCCUUCCCAUCUGCCUUGCAGAUGGACAUCUGGACAAAGAUGGAACCAGACCACCACAGCCAGGACGGAAGAAGAAGCUAAAGAUGAAUGGAUGGGCCAAAUUGAGAAACACCAGAGACACCACAUCCAGAAGAGAAGGCAAGCACCGUAACCGAGUGUGCUGCUCAGACCAGGGACGAAAGUUUAGGAGCAAUGAAGACCGUCAGCCUUCCUCCCUCGACCCUCAGAUGACCACCGAGAAGCUAUCGCAGAAUUAAAAAAAAAAUUUAAAACCUUCAAAAUAAACUUUCUGAUUCAUUAAACCCA
This 1660-nucleotide long non-coding RNA is filed under the name Numida meleagris (helmeted guineafowl). RNAcentral's name for it is "lncRNA (ENSNMEG00000004104.1)". Lineage: Eukaryota; Metazoa; Chordata; Aves; Galliformes; Numididae. The record is from RNAcentral.